CAACCUCUAUGCCUAAUAGUAAUUUUAUACAUGGAAACACUUGUCUUGUACUCUUCUUGUUGUCAAUAGACUGAAGCUGGACUCUCCAGAGGAAUGUUCAAGGGCAGCCAGGGCAGAACCAGCCCUAGAAGUGCCAGUCUCUACUCCCUGCACCCUGAGCCCUGGCAGAGACCCCAGCACCUUGUCUUCCUGCAGGAGCAGCCCUUGCUGUGAGCGCUGGUUUCAGGAGACAAGGGGCAUACAUGUGAAUAAAGACAUGGAGAUGAGGAUACAACUCAGUGGAGGUUUCAUUUCUCAUUUCAAGAUCAGCUAACCUGGGAAAUGCUGAGUGGCCUUAAACAUCACCCCUGUGCUGAGUGGAUAUUGCGACGUAAGGAGAUCCAUGUGCUGCAAUUCCCACCAAGGACUCCACCACUGACCAUAAGAAGAUGAGAGGAAAACAGCUCUCUCAAGCCAUUAAACAAGAAGCUUGGGAAAAAUGUUACAAACAGUUAGAUUUUCCGUGGGAUAGGAAUGUAAGACCUCAUUCAGAAUAAAAUGGGCAAUAAUUGGUCCUAUGUAUAAAAAAAAAAAAAAGUGAACUAUUAUUACACUUGCAAUGAACACCCAGAAACUAGAAAAGAUGAGCCAUUUCUCCUCAGACACACUUGUCAGUUUCUAUCUGAGUAAGAAGUAAAACUAUUUUCAGCCAAA
This is a long non-coding RNA of Strigops habroptila (Kakapo), 693 nucleotides long. RefSeq lists it as uncharacterized. The transcript is spliced from 2 exons. NCBI's taxonomy places the organism in Eukaryota, Metazoa, Chordata, Aves, Psittaciformes, Psittacidae. The record is from RefSeq and is a predicted model, not a curated record.